This 465-nucleotide ribosomal RNA is filed under the name uncultured bacterium. Its description in RNAcentral is "partial 16S ribosomal RNA". It matches the Rfam family "Bacterial small subunit ribosomal RNA", at positions 338 to 795 of the family's 1533-position model. The record is from RNAcentral.
CCUACGGGAGGCAGCAGUAGGGAAUCUUCCACAAUGGGCGAAAGCCUGAUGGAGCAACGCCGCGUGGGUGAAGAAGGUCUUCGGAUCGUAAAACCCUGUUGUUAGAGAAGAAAGUGCGUGAGAGUAACUGUUCACGUUUCGACGGUAUCUAACCAGAAAGCCACGGCUAACUACGUGCCAGCAGCCGCGGUAAUACGUAGGUGCCAAGCGUUAUCCGGAUUUUUUGGGCGUAAAGGGAACGCAGGCGGUCUUUUAAGUCUGAUGUGAAAGCCUUCGGCUUAACCGGAGUAGUGCAUUGGAAACUGGGAGACUUGAGUGCAGGAGAGGAGAGUGGAACUCCAUGUGUAGCGGUGAAAUGCGUAGAUAUAUGGAAGAACACCAGUGGCGAAAGCGGCUCUCUGGUCUGUAACUGACGCUGAGGUUCGAAAGCGUGGGUAGCAAACAGGAUUAGAUACCCUAGUAGUC